This 659-nucleotide ribosomal RNA is filed under the name uncultured bacterium. RNAcentral's name for it is "bacterial SSU rRNA". The stretch from base 1 to 552 matches the Rfam family "Bacterial small subunit ribosomal RNA", at positions 338 to 873 of the family's 1533-position model. The record is from RNAcentral.
CCUACGGGAGGCAGCAGUAAGGAAUAUUGGACAAUGCCCGCAAGGGUGAUCCAGCUAUGCCGCGUGCAGGAAGAAGGCCCUAUGGGUCGUAAACUGCUUUUACACCGGAGAAAACCUCCCUUCGUGAAGGGAGCUGAUAGUAUGGUGAGAAUAAGCAUCGGCUAACUUCGUGCCAGCAGCCGCGGUAAGACGAAGGAUGCAAGCGUUAUCCGGAUUCAUUGGGUUUAAAGGGAGCGUAGGUGGACUGAUAAGUCAGUGGUGAAAUCUUCGAGCUUAACUCGGAAAUUGCCAUUGAUACUGUUAGUCUUGAGUACAGUUGCUGUGGGCGGAAUAUGACAUGUAGUGGUGAAAUACAUAGAGAUGUCAUAGAACACCGAUUGCGAAGGCAGCUCACAAAGCUAGUAACUGACACUGAGGCUCGAAAGUGCGGGGAUCAAACAGGAUUAGAUACCCUGGUAGUCCGCACUAGUAACGAUAGUAUUACUACGUCUGCUAGAGGGACGUACGUUUAGUUAGGUCGUUAGUACGAAAGACGUAAGUAAGUAAGUUACCGUUACCGUAGGGGUUAGGUUACGGCCGGCCGGACGGUUACGGAAACGUUAAAGUUAAGUUAGUUAGGACGGNGNGAGACGCGACGACGGACGACGACGGAGGAGGAG